UGGCGAUCGCGGUUUGGCGGCCCGCACGACGAUUGCGGUCGGAGGUUUCCCGGCAUGGCAACGUGGCAACCGGAGACUUCCCGAAGCGACAGCCGAAGGUAGAGACUUCCCAAGAUGGCAAUCGGGGCUUAUGCAAAUCAGCCGCCAAGAAACACCACCUCGGACGAAAAACCCAAUCUAUAGGGCAUCAGAACACUAAAUAAAGAAACUGAGAGCGAUGCUCUAAGGUCGGGAUCAAGGGGCAUUACACACCAACUCCGCUUUCCUUGUCCUGAUCGGGGAGAGACUGGUUAGAGAUGACACCCCUGGACUCUCGAGCCAAAGGGGGGGCUCCGGGUAUACCCGUGAGGGCGGAGAUCCCGGCUUUGCCUACAUUGCACCCCGUAGGCAGAGCUGCAUUCCUCCUCCUCUGAGCCGCUUUAGGGAGUGAUGGCGGUGUGCGCGCGACCCGUCGGGCCCCCACCCCAAGCUGAUUCCUAAUAAAGGCUUUAAAACAGGAGAAGAAGGUCUCCUGGCCCUGUUUUUAUCACAAUAUGACCAAGACUCUUGCAGAAGAAUGUCACAUCCAAGCCAUUUUGGACAGAAACUACCUCAGCCACACUUUUGGAUCCUGAGUUGCUACACACCUUUCCAUUUUGUUCCCCUUCUCCCUGGGCAGGAAGCAAAGCUGGAUAUCUGCAGUCAAGAUCAAGCGGGCAAGGCAGCCCACUGAUAUUACGCUGAGGACCCCUCACCGACCUGCCAACAGACCUAGUUUGCUUCUCCUGUGAGCCCCAGGAAGUAUUACAGGAGUCUGUGAUGAAGUCUUGGCCUUUUCCACGUGCAGGUGCUGUCAGGGUAGCCUUUAGGAAUGACCAAGGGGUUGC
Molecule: long non-coding RNA, 866 nt
Filed under: Parus major (Great Tit)
Lineage: Eukaryota; Metazoa; Chordata; Aves; Passeriformes; Paridae
Description: lncRNA (ENSPMJG00000019143.1)
Source: RNAcentral